This 389-nucleotide long non-coding RNA is filed under the name Jatropha curcas. Its description in RNAcentral is "long non-coding RNA (JCUR_LNC000378)". Lineage: Eukaryota; Viridiplantae; Streptophyta; Magnoliopsida; Malpighiales; Euphorbiaceae. The record is from RNAcentral.
GAAAAGGAGCUAGUGGGAAUAGCUAAGAGGUGCGAAGCGUUUUAUUAAACCAUUUCUUUCUGGCCACUUUUCAUAGCUAUAAGUUCAAUCAUUCACUUCCUGGGAUAACGUGAAUUGCUUCCUUCCCGAGCCAGGUCGAGUCAGAAAGGCUUCGAUGACUCAAGGUUCAUAUUAGGAACAGGAGAGUGAGGGGAAGAGGGGGCAGUCCUCGGCCCGAUCAUCCAAUUCGCUCUAACAGACAGGCAUGGUUCUGUACUCAAAGUAACUUCGUCACUUUCGUGUACCCAUCAGACGACAGCCCUUUCGGGGGUUCCUUAGGGACCGAUUCACUCUGCGUAGAUUGACUGAAUGCAGAAAGCCUUCCACUGGCAGGCGAUCGUGUUUUUAAA